UGCCAGCCGCCGCUGGCAGCGCCGCCUGAACUGAGGCGAACUCCGCCGCCAAGUGAGUGAGGAGGAGGAGGAGAAGGAGGAGGAGGAAGAGGAGGAGCGCAGUCAGAGCGCGGCGGCAGCGGCAGCGGCAGAGGCGCCGCGGCGGGGACCAGCCCAGAGAGACCCCCCGAGCCCGCGGCACAGGCGGCGGCGGCGCUGAGCGGGCGCGACCAGCCGAGCGAGCGGCGGCCCCGGCUCCUCCUCGUCCGGCGCCAGCGGCCCGCGCCCUGCGCCCGCACUCGGCCAGCCGAGACCCGCCUCCCGCCCGCCCGCCGGCCUCGUGAGGGACGCGCCGAGCCGGGCGGUCGAGAGCGGCGGCGGCUGGGAGCGCGUCGGGCCCGGGCGGAAAGUGCCUGCGGGGGGCGGGCGAGCGCGCGGUGCCGGCCGCCCCGGGGCUCGGCGCGGGAGCCAGAGCGGGAGCCGGCGCGGAGCGGGACGCCGGGUCCCGAGCGGCCCGCGGCCGGGGCUCGCCCCCGCCCCUCCCUCCUCUCCGGCGGCGGCGGCGGCGGCGGCGGCGGCGGGCGGAGUGAGCUGCGGAGCCUGGAAUAUGGUCGGGGAAAUGGAAACGAAGGAGAAGCCGAAGCCCACCCCAGAUUACCUGAUGCAGCUGAUGAACGACAAGAAGCUCAUGAGCAGCCUGCCCAACUUCUGCGGGAUCUUCAACCACCUAGAGCGGCUGCUGGACGAAGAAAUUAGCAGAGUACGGAAAGACAUGUACAAUGACACAUUAAAUGGCAGUACAGAGAAAAGGAGUGCAGAAUUGCCUGAUGCUGUGGGACCUAUUGUUCAGUUACAAGAGAAACUUUAUGUGCCUGUAAAAGAAUACCCAGAUUUUAAUUUUGUUGGGAGAAUCCUUGGACCUAGAGGACUUACAGCCAAACAACUUGAAGCAGAAACCGGAUGUAAAAUCAUGGUCCGAGGCAAAGGCUCAAUGAGGGAUAAAAAAAAGGAGGAGCAAAAUAGAGGCAAGCCCAAUUGGGAGCAUCUAAAUGAAGAUUUACAUGUACUAAUCACUGUGGAAGAUGCUCAGAACAGAGCAGAAAUCAAAUUGAAGAGAGCAGUUGAAGAAGUGAAGAAAUUAUUGGUACCUGCAGCCGAAGGAGAAGACAGCCUGAAGAAGAUGCAGCUGAUGGAGCUUGCGAUUCUGAAUGGCACCUACAGAGAUGCCAACAUUAAAUCACCAGCCCUUGCCUUUUCUCUUGCAGCAACAGCCCAGGCUGCUCCAAGGAUCAUUACUGGGCCUGCACCGGUUCUCCCACCAGCUGCCCUGCGUACUCCAACGCCAGCUGGCCCUACCAUAAUGCCUUUGAUCAGACAAAUACAGACCGCUGUCAUGCCAAACGGAACUCCUCACCCAACUGCUGCAAUAGUUCCUCCAGGGCCCGAAGCUGGUUUAAUCUAUACACCCUAUGAGUACCCCUACACAUUGGCACCAGCUACAUCAAUCCUUGAGUAUCCUAUUGAACCUAGUGGUGUAUUAGAGUGGAUUGAAAUGCCAGUCAUGCCUGAUAUUUCAGCCCAUUGACUUGCUGGAUGAAGGACUAGAAUACAGCAGCUGUUAUAACACGACCAGUCAAUGUGGAACAAACUGUUUCUGUGCAACCCCUUUGUUUUACCAGACAAAAUUUGAAUACUUUUUUUCCUGAAUUGUAUACGACCUUGGUGCUGCAUGCAUGCUGUUGACUUUUAGGACUUUGAUCUCUUAAGGUUUUUUUUUUUUCCAGCAUUAAUAUUGAUUUAUAAGGAUAUGAAAAUCUUUACUGAACUGGAGGACACUAAGAUUUAAACUCGAAAAUUCAUUGUUCAAGUAAAGAAAGCCAUGAUGCUCUGUAUGUUAUCUGUGUGUGUGCAUGCACUCAGGUGCCCUUUGUUUCAUGAACAAAUACAUUUCAUUGUACAUGUUUUCUGUUUAUCUCUAAAUCAUUGUAUAAAGUAAUUGCAGGUCAGAAUUAUACCACAGAACUGUUUAUGAGAGGCUUGUCUCUGUUGCACAUUUCUUGAAGCAUUUUUAAAAUAACAUGUAACCUGUAACCUUGUUGUUUUAAGUUUUCUUUUCUAUUAAUACUCUGUCCUGUGGUCCCAUGCAUGCUCCUUUUCCCAGAACUCCUCUCUGCUGCACCCACAGCAUCUGUUCCCGAGGAGUUAUGACUCUUGACUUCCUGCAGGGCUGGGGCUCUUAGCUACCAGCUGCUGUUCCAGCACUUUCAGUGCAAGAUCUCCCUGAUUUUGCCACAUGGAAUUGUACUUGUAUAUGAUUACCUUAUCUAAAAUGAAUAAGGGGUGAUGGACCAGUUUACUGCUUAGAAAUAGCAAGAGGCACUGCAGUAAAACUUGUUUCUCAUUGUAAAGCUUCAUGUCUUUUGUUUGUUGAAAAAUUUUUACUUAUAAAAACUUAAUUGUUAGACUGGUAAAAUAAAGACCAAAAUAUGCAGAUUUCUAAUUGGCAUUCAUAAGGUGAAUAAUAAUAAGUGCCAAAUGAAAAAAUCUUACUAUGGUUAAUUUUAUUUCUUGCUUUGCCACCUAAGCAGUAAAACAUGAUAUUGACCACUUGGAGAACUCAGAAAAUUAUUUUAAAUUUCUAAGUUAUAAUAAAUUUGCACACAGAUAACAUGCAUGCUAUUUAUGUCACAUCUCACAUUAAAUUAUUUUAAAAUAAGCAGUGCCCUUCAAAACAGAUGCAGACAUGUGUGUUGGUAGUAGUGAGGAGAUUGGUAUUAGCAUCAAAUCUUCAUUGAUGACUAAUUUUUAAUUCCCUUCCUUUUAUCUUUAGGUAUGGCUUUCCCAACGAAAGGCUAAGAAUUCAAGAACGGUCUUAACUGAACCCUCAUCAGAUCUGAAUUUAACAAAUGCUUAGUCUCAGCAGCCUCCGGGGGAAAAAAGCUUAGCCUAGCAGUCAGUGACUUACUUGCACUUUUUGCACAUAGAUAUAAAGUAAAAUUAUGUUAUUAAUUUGGUUUAGUCUGUAAUAUUACACAGUAAUGGUAAUUUAUAAAGGAGUGUAUAGUAGUAUACUGACUGCUAAGUGUACUAUACUGUUUGCUUUACUAAUCACCUAAUUCAUUGCAGUUCAUACUUAUUGACUCAGAGUUUAAAACCACAAUCUGUAGGCUUUAAGAAUUGCUUUUAAACCUUUUUAAGUGAUAAACUCUUGAAGUGGUCUUAAGGUUAGCAAAUAAUUGUCAGUAUUAAACAUGGCAUUAUUUAAGUAGUCCUGCUGCGAGAAAGGCACUUCAGUGAAUAUGUGACUAGUAAAGCUUAAAUAUGUUUGGAUCUAAUAGAGUUCAUGAAAUACUGUAACUUGGGGAUUGUAAAUGAAUGGAUAAAAUAGGUUAAGGCCCAAGAUGUUUGAAAUGAAUGCAAUAUUAAUAGAUGCAUAUAUACAUGACAUAUUGUGGUUAAUUUUAAAACUACUGUGCCUUAACGUGUUUCUUAAACUUUUGUAGUAAAUGAACAUUUGAAAUCCAUUUUGAUAAACCUGCUGUUAAUGUUUUUUUCCCCCCUUGUGAAUGUUUUCUAACUUUGUCUUGGUAAUUGCAAUUUAACUAGGUGCGGUGGCUACUAAAGUUCGAAGGCACGAUAUGCGUGUCCAUCCUUACCAAAGGAUUGUGACCGCAGACCGAGCCGCCACCGGCAACUAACCUAUGACCUUCUGACCUCUGAACUCUUCACCCAAUGAUGACCUGACCAUGCCUGCCUGCUGAUCAGUUAACUGGUAAUCGCCUUUGCUUGCCUGUCGUCAGUGCAGCGAGCUGAGGCACUUGUCCGUUCGUCUUACCAUCUAACCAAACAAAAGACAAAGAAAUUGUUGUCCUCCAACUCAGCUUUUUUUUUUUUUUCCUGUUUGGGUGAAAGUGGUUCUAGAACCUGCACUGAAUAGUAGUAAAGCAAUAAGGCCCAAUUCAUCCCACAGCACUGAUCAUCUUUUAAUAUCCCACCCUAAGCGAACGGUAAGAAGGCCUCUCUUAAGAAGGGGAGACAGAUGGCCCUUAACUACUCAAUGACAGAGGCAGUUACUGUGAGAGACUUCUAGGAAUCUUUUUCUUCUCAUAGCGAAGUCAAAGCUCUCUCUGAAUGUACUGUGUGAUGAUGCAUCAUGCAUGAACCUUCGGUCAGGGAUAUCAUUGGUGAAGUGAUUUCGAAAAGUAUUCAAAAUUUGAUAUGCUGUUUAGUCACUACAGUGCCCUCAAAGGGCAGAAGUUGCAGCCUUUUUUAUAUUGCCUGCCAAAAUUUGAAGUAUUAGAAGAAAGUGUGCCAUGAGAGAAAAACGUAAGGAGUUUUGAAAAGUAAUGCAAAUAACAAAACUGCAACACUAUUUUUAAAAGAUAAAUAUCUAAGUUAAAAUUACCGAAUCUUUAUUUUACACCUUCUAAAAAAAUAUGAGAACAAGGUACAUGCAUUAUGUGUCACAUUACUGGGCAAACUGUUCAAGUAUUUUUUUUUAAACCUCCCUGUAUAGAAAAAAAUCAUUAAGGAUGUAAAAGCCAUGCUUGCCUAUUUGCUGUAUACAUGUAAUGAAAUUGUAGAUAAAGUGUAGUGCAUUGAAACAAAUGAACAAAAAGUAGAUACUUUUACUAUACAAGGGUGCUGGUGCAGAAAAAAAUAUAUAUAUUUUUGGAAAUGUAGCAUUUUAUACUUUCAAGUGUUAUAAAAAAAAAGAAAAAGAACAAAGAAACCCUUUAUUUCAUUAAAUGAUUUUUUCUGGUGGUUGUCAAGAAACAAAAGACCAAAAGAGCCUUUUUGUCUUUCUUUUUUAUUUUUUAAGUAUUGGAAUAAGUCUAAAGAAAAGAAAGUGCCUUAUUUUCCUUCAUGGUCAUUUAGUCAAGUGUCUCAUAAAGAUCAGCUCCUCCCUCAGAAUACAAGUUAAUGCAUGUUACUCAGUCGCCCAGUAUGUGAAAGAAGAUAUGAGGGAGACAAAUGAGUUGAUGGUUUGAAUUAUAUGAUUUUUGCCACGUUACCUUGAUGCAAAUUUGCCAAAUCUGAUACUGUGAAAAGAUUUGAUAACUUUUCUAAUGCCUGACUAGUAAGUUUUAAAACAUCAUUCUUUAAAAAAAUAAUUUAAUAUUUUUGGUUAUUCCAAUCUUCAGUGUUAACCCAAACGAUUCUGAGAUAAAAAUUAUGUGUCAUCUGAACUUCAGUUUACAGACAAAUUAGAACUUUGUUUUAUUUGGAGAAGGGGGAUGCAUUCAUUUGGUUUUGAUUUUUAUUUUGUUUUUAAUUAAUUGGAGAUGAUAGGAUACCUAGCAAAUGUUUUCAGAAAAGUGAAUCUUUGUGAUUUUCAUUCUGGAAAACAAUGUUUUAAAUCACCCAAAUUUAAUCACAUGUUUUUAUAUCAUACCAGAUAACUGGUGUAGUGUAUCCUUUUACUGUUUCAGUAACCUUUGCCUCCCCCACCCCUUAACUUUAAAAGAAUGUGAAAAACUAGCAUCAUAGUGCAUAUAAAUACUCAACCACAUUUCACCUUAAGCUUCUAAUUUCUCUAGAAGUUGAAACAGUUAGUUAUGUAGUUGAAGCAAUUUGUGUGCAAAGCCUACAUCUAAACACUUGAGUGAAUAAUCAUUAACUGCUCAGUACCAGACGUGGCAAAUCUCAAGUGACAGUGGACUCCCCCCGCCCCCCAGCUUAUCAACUCAUCCCCUCUUCCACACCUUCCCAGCAUCACAGUCAGAGGUCAGCAGGAAGCUGAGUCAUGACCUUCUUGGUGACCUCCCCUGCCAUCUUGUCUCACUUGGAAACCGUUGUCAGUUUAUUUACUAUGCAAUAGACAUUCAUUGUUUUGUAUCCAGCUAGCUUUGGUUUAAUAUGCCACUGCUUUGUCUUUGUGUUACACAUACAGUUUUGAUUUAUUUACAAUAUAUGCUGUGCCAUUUUGAUUUUUAUAUUGUUUGGUUGCUUUAAUAAAUUUGCGACACUCAAACACUUGAGGUGAUAGUUGUUAAAAAAAAUACCAGUAUUUGAUCCAGUUUCAUCUCAACUGUGUUAUACCUGGACAUUUUAGAUGUUUAUCAAAGGUCUUUUAUGGGGAAGAAAGUAAAUGUAUGAAAUAAUAAAUGUGUGACAUUUAUGGGUAAUGUUGGCUCUGAACAAACUUUUGAAAACUUGGUUGACAAAAUUUUGGAUCAACUGAAAAAAGCAUGACUUUUGAAAUCUCUGAAUGCCUUGGUUCUCAGUAUUAUCAUUCUUUAUUGAAUUUAUUUCUUAUUAAAAUACGUAGUUUUUAAGACUUUUUUUCUGACAGUAUUAUGUAAUUUUUUAGUGUGGGUAGAUGGGAGUGUCGCUUGUAUGUUAUCGUACAGCUGACAUGUAUUUUUGUCUAUUCUUUAUUAUCUUAGUUUCAUGCUGUGUAUGUACCAUAACCAACCUAUUGCCUAUGAGAAACAUGUAAGAUAAUGUAUUUACAGCCAUUGUUACAAGUUUAUAAUGUAUUUUUCUAUCUUGUUUUAUAUGUAUGUUAUAUAACAUUCAAAAAGAAUUUUUUUCUUGAUUGAGAAAAGGAUACAAAAUGCAAAAUCCACAAUUUUGAUAACUGAAAAUUGCCAAUUGUUUUGCAGUACUUUAUUAUAUUGGGUGUCUUGUCUUUUUUGGGCUUUUAGUUAGCUAAUGAAUGAAUACAUUAGACACUUUUGGAUUUUAGUUGGGAUUUUACAUAGCUUGCAUUUUAAUUCUUUGGUUCUUUGCUGUUUCUAUUAACCCAUAGCAUUAUUUUAAUAAAUGUUAUAAUACCAACCUACUAACUCUGGACUAUGUCUGUUUAUUAACCUUUAUAUGUUUAAUUAAAAUAAACAAAUAAAGACAAAAGAAUGUAAAGUCUUGAGUUACUGGACUAACCCUGAAGAACGUGACCACAGAUAACAUGGCGUGACUUGUUUUUAUGUUGUUUGUCAGCUGACAGUUUUGCACACUACUGUUAAAAUAGCUUUGGUUAUUCUGGUCUUGUACCUUGUGGGGGGGUGGGGGUAGGUGCAGUAGAGAUGGGAACAAAGAGGCCUUUGUUGGAGGCAUUCUUCUCCUCUUGCCACUUGCCUUUCAGCAUCUGCAUUACUAAUUCCACACCUUAUUUUUCCUUCUCCAAAAUAAUCACUGUCUGCUCACAGCAUCAAGAGUAAAAAGAUAUAUUGUAAUGGUAUAUACCUGGAGAAACCAGUUUGAUUCUUUGUUGAACCAUUUCUUUUAAUUUCUGUAAAUAAGUAAUUUUAUGGUCACACUGUAAAGCAGAGAAACUGUUGAUAUUUUACCUUUAUUUAGAUUUUUAUUUUAACUUGACCUUUUUCCUUUGGAAAGCAUUGAACUUGUUUAGCUAACUGCUCCUGUUAGGGGAGCUUAACUUGGGUAAAGCCAAAGGCCCACUGACUGUUUCUCAUGGUGGCCUGAAGCCCCACUGCUUUCCAAUGAGGAAAAGAACCCUCAGCACAUUACUGAGUUUUCCUCAGGUAUUUUUUUCCCUGUCACCUACUUUACAAAUACAGUCAGACUAAAACGUUAAACAAGAAGUUUAAGGGGGAAGAACACUGGGAUUUGAAAAGUUGUAUAUGAUCAAUUUCUUGCUUGCAAAUCAAUUUAAGAUUUCCUAAAUAUCUUCAUGCUUUUCUUGGCUGGAACUUGGGUAAAUUAACCUGUAAUUAUGAAUUACUUAGUUUAACUCAAGGUGCAUUUUUAUUUCACAGAUUGAUACUUCCUUCUUUCUGUGAAACAGUUCUCCUAGAUAACAAAAUCCUCAGGAUGAAUUUUUGCAUUUGUACAUAGCAAUGUAUCUUUGUAAAUGACGUUUUAUUUAUUUAGAGUUGUAGAAUUUGGGGCCGAAAUGAGUGACAUGUAAUAGAAGAAAAAACUGUACCAAUACGCCCUUAACCAAUCAGACUGUCAAGGUAUUCUCAUUCAUAAAUAUAUAUACACACGUACAUAUACAUAAUACACAGAGUAGUGAUAGCUGAUUCGAGUGAUAACAGCGAAUCACCAUUGAGAUGGUCACUUGGAUCAUGUAAACAAACUGGGUCAUUUCUCUGAUGGGAGCAGUGGGGCAGUGUACUGUUGUUAGGUAGACAGGUCUUUAACAUGCUACUAUUUGUAAAAGUUUCUGUUGCCCUAACAGUUCAUGUAGUAGUCUGUGAAAAUUCGAAGCUGUCUGUCAAGCUGCUAAUGUACAAGUUGUCAUGGUACCAUGUCACUUAAAUUGAUGAAUUUCUGUGCAAUUUACUAUUCUCUAAAGCCUAUGAAUGCAGCCUCAUCUCAUUUUCAGUUAAGGGUACUUUAUGUAUAAUUAAGUCAUUGCUACCUUUUAUGUAGGAAAUGUAAAGUUUUAAAAGGCGAAAAUAACAUUACAGAUUUCAUUUUUAUACAGGUUACAAUAUUAUUAAACUACCAAAUUCCUAGAACGGUAAAAUUCUAGAGUCAGUUGAUUGAUUGAAACUAUUUGACAAAACAAUUGAAAGCUGAGCUUUCAGUCAAGAAGUUGGUGAAAUUAAUGUACUUAAACAUUUUUUUCCUUUCGGCAAAAUGUCAGGGAAGACUUAACGUGAGAGUAGUUACUCCCGUACGCCCCAGUGCGGUGGCUCCACGUGUAAGAGGUUGUUAAGGCACCCUGCCCAUAAAACCAGGAUGUGUAUACGUACACACAAUUGGUGUCUGGUUACGGUUUUCUCAACACUAGAUAAGGUUCUGAAUUUGUUAGUGUGCCAAAAGCGAAUGAUAGGUUUAAAUGAAAUUGCUCACUACCAAACCAAGACUCUAAUAAAUAUAUAUACAUGUUUAUAUAUAUAUAUAUACAUAUAUAUAUAUGUCAUAGCACUUUCACAUGUGACAGCCUAAGGUUUCUUUAGUUUUGGGGUGGAGUGGGAGUGGUUUUGCAUGUUUGACCAGGGUGGGAUGCCUGUCUUUAUUCCUUGAUAAGAAGUAGCUGUUAACAGCAUUUCAAACAAAUUAUUUUUGGUAGAAUAGGACUUACUGCCAAAUGGUAAUUUAUUUAGCAAAAAUUAUUCUCCAACUUUUCGAAUUCGCAAAUUUCCUAAGUGCCUAGAGUAGUUUUUUACAUUGUCACGAAUCCCUUAAUACCUUUAUUUGAAGUGGAAAAAAUAUGGACAAUAUUUUAGAAAUAUGUGCUACACAUCUAAUUUUAUCUGUAGUUUCUUUUAAAUGAUCUAAAUUGAGAUGCCUUUGAUACGAAGAGAUUUACCAACAUUAUAUGCACUCGUGCCUUCAAUGCGGAAUCAAACUGGUUAACCUCGGCACAGUCCUCUCCUUUCUGUGUUUCUGCUGCACUAAUUGCCAGGGGGUGGGAGAGAAGGCAGAUGAAUGAAUUCAUAGUAGAAGGAGGCGAUAGGUGCACCCAAAGAGCAGCGGCAAUAUUGAUUCCACAUUACAAUUUUGUUGCCCCUUGGCAAAAGACAUCACAUUGUGGGAAGAUCUCAGCUUCCAGGGUAAAAGUUAAUUUAUAACUUAAAGUGCUAUUAAGUUUUUAUUACCAAAUAUAUAUUUUAUGGUUUAUAGUGGUAUGUAUGAAACAUUUAAAAUUUUACUGUGGAAAUUGUGUAUAUAUAUAUAUCUCUAUAGAAGUCGAAAUAGGUGUGCGCAGAUCACAUGUGAACGGAGAACUGCAUAUGACUGUACAUGAAAUGCAAUAAACCAACUGGAAAAAGUG
Cercocebus atys (sooty mangabey) is the source of this 9670-nucleotide RNA transcript. It is a transcript of the gene named QKI, KH domain containing, RNA binding, with no coding region annotated. Lineage: Eukaryota; Metazoa; Chordata; Mammalia; Primates; Cercopithecidae. The record is from RefSeq and is a predicted model, not a curated record. The transcript has 8 exons.